CCAGGCCUUCCCUGGCCAGCGUGACCUACUUUCCUGGCUGAGUGACACUGAGGGGAAAAUGGUCGGUGACGGGCAGCCCUGCUCUGCGUGCAGCCAGCGGGGAGGGUGACCAGUGCCCUCGCAGCCAGGUCGCUUGGGCAGCCGGAGACGUCAUCUGAGUGACUCAGUGUUUGUCCUCUGCACACUGCACUGACCAGCCUGACGGGAACACCGGCCACGUGAUGUGGGCCCCUGGGCGGCUGUGCUGUGGGGAUGCCAGGACCUGCUGCUGCGAUGCAGCUGACGUGCAGGGUGGACGCUCUUCUGUCCCAGAUCCCGUUUCCUGAGGCUUUGUGCUUUGGCAGAGGCCAGGAGGCACCUUGGCUGGGGGAGACCCCAGGACCAGGGUGACAUCUGAGACCCCGCCAGUGCCCCCGGGCAGGUCUGCGGAGCAAUGCUGGCCUGGCCUUGGCUGUGCUCUGCCAGAGGGGCCAGCGCUGUUCUACACUCGGAGAGCCAUGGAAGCUGGGUCUCGAGAGCGCCCUGAGUCUGUGCGCCCUACACUAGCCUGGCCCACCCCAUGGGCCCUGGUGGGCCAGGGAAAUGACACACCCAUCCUCAUGCUAAGCGAGGGGUCCUCGACCCUUCCCUGCACUCCAGGGAAGCAAUUGCGGCUCCUAGGAGGAACCACAUGUCUUGGAAAACACCACAGCAAAGGUGUGCGUGCUUCUGCAGUCCAAAAUAUCACAGAAUGACUGGAAAUAAUCCUGGUCUGAAAAAAAUCUCACUCUCGCCCCACUAGCCAAGAACUGUGAAGAAAGAAGACAGCAGAGGAAAGUCUAGGCCUCUCCUGUCCAGAUACUCAGGUACCUGUGGCUGCAUUCCACUUUCACUCUGAAAACACAAGCACCUUUGGGGUCCGUGUCCCUCAAGGCAGGAGCCAUGCCUUCAAAUCACCCUCUGCCUUCUGGACGCUCUUGUAUCAGUCAGCACAGGCCAGCUGUGCUGUGUAACAAGUAGCCUGAGAUGCAGAGUGGCUCCUUUCCAUUCAGGCCCCAUGCCGAGCAGGGUGGGCUGGUGCCCUCCUGGUCCUCACCCCAGGGCUAGUGCCCUCCUGGUCCUCACCCCAGGGCUAGCUGUCAGGCAGGGCUCUGAGACGCACUAGACACUGGGCACUGAGAGGUGACAACCUCUUGCAUUUCCUCGGCCAAAGCAGGUCUGCUGGCCAGGCCAGUGCAUAGGCAGUAGGGAGCCUGAAUCCCCAAGCAGGCUGGGGGGGCACAGCCAAGUUCCAGGAGUGGACAUGCCAUCAGCCUCUGGACCAGCAGGGACAUCUAAGCUCAGAGCAGCUGUGAGGGCCUCGCCCACCUGGGCCUGGCAUUGCUGGCAGUGAGGCCGCAGGACACCAGGGCGGGUCCCACCGCCUCGUUGCUACAGACCCUGCAGACCCUGCUUGGGCCUGGCUGCUGAGUGUGGCCGGUAGGGGGAGCAGAGCACCGCUCAAAUGGAAGGGAGCCUGCAGCAGUCCCUCCGCUGGGCUCCCUGGGGCCAAGGAUGAGACGGGAGGACCAUGCUCCAAGGCAGGCCAGGCGCUGCUGGUUCUGCCACCGCGGAAGCCACCUGGUGUCCUCUUCCCAGGGUCCUGGGAACCCUGCCCUGGAUUCAGCCCAGCUGGAGGGUGGCAGGGCCGGGGUGGCUGCUCAGGGGCACCUUCCUGCCUCAGCCUGGCCCAAGUCAGUGCAGCUCUGCGCCUCAAGCCCGCUCCUCCAGGCUCCCUCCAGGCAGCCAAGCUGCCUGCCUUGGACCCAGUGGCUGCUGGGGUGGGCACGGGGGUGGCCUUAGGGUAGCGCGAGUCCCACAGGUGUCCUGGAGCCCUUGGCCAGCCGGAUGCUGUCUGCGUCGGGAGGGCGGGCAGGGCCACCACAGCUCCCCAGGGCGUUAGAAAUGGCGCUGCAGAGCCAGCACCUCACCCCGUCUCACCAGCAGAGCUGACAGCGCAGACUAAAAAUAACGGGCGUUUCUCCCGCAAGCAGCGGCUGUGCAACACACUGAGCCCUGCCGCCCACCCUCAUCACAGGGUGCUGAGCCACACCAGACCCAGUGUGUGGUCACUGUUAGCCCAGGCCUGCGACCCUCUCCAUGCACAUGGGAGCCCUGUCCAGCAAGGGGUGGCCCAGAGGUGGCCUGGGCCAGCUGAUGCCACAACCCAUCACAGUCCCUGCCCUGCCACAGUCCCUCGGGGACACGAUGGGCACGUGCUGCGCCCGAUGCUGUGUCCCCCACCCCUGCUUUGCUCCACGGCGUCCCGGGGAGUCCUGAGAACCCUCGUGCCCUCUGUGGGCUGCUGCCCUCCCAGGGGUCUGCAGUGCGUCCUCCCAGGGAGGCGGGUGUCAGAGGCCAGGGGGCUGCAGAGUGCGACGCAGGCCGGACUGUGGCCUCCGGGCAGAUGGUGCAGCCUCACCACAGGGGCCCCGUGCCAGCCCACACUGCUGGCCUUGGUGGCCAGGACCUCCAGCCAGGGCUGUGCCUUGCCCAUGGAGCUGCAGUCUGGGGCUGCCUGCUCCUGGGGUCUGGGCCCAGCAGGCUGGGGGCUGGUCACAGGUAGCAGCAGGGGCAGCCCCUCUCCUCAGCAGAGCUGCGCCCCUUGUACUACUGCCCAGGCAAGGGUCCUCCCUGUCUCCAGGGUGCCCCUCGGCUUCGAGUCCUUCUCCCUUCCCGAGAUAGUACUCCCACCUGCCACUUCCAGAAAGUGCAUGUUAGGGCUUAAAACCGAAUGUCCCCCAAAGCCUCAUGUGCCAGAAGUGGGGCUCUGGGGAGAGGCUAAAUCGUGGGUGCGAGAGGCUGGAUGAGUCCACGAUAGGCUUGGCACAGGUCUGGGUGUGGCUGGUGGACUUACUGAAGAGCGGAGCCCCACCCUGGAUGUGGGUGCACCAACCAAUAGGCUUGCAGCCUGGAGGGAAUAAAAAGGGAGAAGAAGGAAGGCACCCUGCCUCCUGUCUGCCCUGCCAGGGGCUGCUUCCGCUCUGCCACGUCACCCUGCCUUGGAGCCAGCUGACGCCGAUUAGAGAAACCUCUACACACUGAGAACUGAAAUAAUCCUCUCCUCCUUUACCAUCUGGCUGUCAUGCUGGGUAUUCUGUCUCAGCAACAAGAGAGUAACUGAGACAGUGCAUCUGGGACCUGGUUCUCCUGCGAGGGGGUAGCCAGCGGAGCUCACACGGGUCAGGAGGGGGCUGCCCUGCCCGCCCGCCCGGAAGCCAGGGCAGGGGACAGGAGCCUGGAAGGUUCUUCCCAGGGCCGAGCACGGACAGGCUGCAGGUCCUGCGUGGUCCCCAGGUGCAUGGACAUCCGGCCCAGGAGGUCCAGCUGGAGAAGCAGAAGGCCACACACGCCCAGAGGCACACCCAUGGUCACACAGAGGCGCACACGCAGGAACAUUCGCACUCCUGCCCACACCCACACGUUCAGGAAGUAAUGAGUGAUGAGCAGACAGGUAACCCACAGAUCCCAGAGGAUGCGCCUCAGAUGCCGUCUGUCCCUCCCUCACCCACGUCGGUGCCCACCCAGCCCUCCUUCCUUCUCAAGCCCUCAGUGUGGCCUUCCCGGGGACUCAAGUGGGGAGCCGGGGAGCCAUGGCCAGGUGUGGGGCGGCACCCUGAGCAGGCUGGGGCUGUAGGCUGAUCACAGCCCUUCCAGUGGGCUGGGGGUGCAUCCUGGGGUGCAGGGCACACGAUCUCCACAGGAGUGACCAGGGAGGCCUGGGAGGGCUCAGGGCUUCCGAGGGCAGCAGGCUUGGGAAGGGCAAAGAACUCACAUGGCCUGUAGCCAGAGGGUGCAGCCUCGCCCCCACCAGCCACUCCCAAUUCCACUCCCACAUUUCACAACACCUGACACCCACCACUUAGAGGGGAGAGGUCAGGUGGCUCAUGGCUCAGGCGACCCAGUCCGUGGUUGGCUGGCUCCAAGGCAGGGGUGUCAUGGCGGAGGAGCAUGGAGAAGGGAAGAUGGUGGCCAGGAAGCAGAGCAGGGGAUCAGCUCCACGAGGAAGGGGCCAGGGAACAGACGCUGUACCCAAGGCCACCCCUCCAUGGCCACCCAGACACACCCAGGAGUGUGCUCCCCCGGUCCCGAGGCUUCUCCAGCCAGUGAGCGACAGCAGGCCCUGCAGUUUCAGCUCGAGGCGUGAACAAGCAGAGCCGGGCAGCAGACUCUCCCUGCAGCCCAGCUGAGCAGUAGCUCUCAGGGCACUUGGGCUGCUGCCGGGCGGCUCCCGGGGCACGCCAAGGCUCGCCAAGGCUCCUGGAACACAAUUCCCUAGCGGGCUGGGAUGACGCUCGCAUUUUUCUAGGUGUGUAUAGUGGAAACGAAACCAAAAUAUUAUCACAAGGCUAAGUUUGUUUUACAGCUGCUGUGACAGAUGAUAGUACUUGUCUAGGUUUCGUAUAAACAGCUCUCCCUGUGCCCUGAGCAGCUGCGGCCUCCCGCUCGCUGAGGCUGAGGGCAGUAGCUCUGGUCCCUCGGCCAGCUGACAGCCGCAGGCUCACCCCAACAGCAUCUCCGGGGAGGGCGGGGCCCGGGGAGGGCUCCUGUGUCUCCAGGGCCCCGACGGGGGACAGCGUGGUUCUUUCUGGACAGGACUCCUGUAGGUGCAGGUGGCCCUUCCUGCUGCAGGCCUGAUUCAGGCUGUGGGGCGCUGGCCCUGGGCUCCUUCCUGGGUCCCCAUGAGAGCCCUUGGCCACAAGAAACCCCCAGGGACAGCAGUGGCCCGACACCCAAGCCCCCCACAGUGGGCUCCCUCAGGCCUCAUCCCCAGCCCUCCCAACCCUUGAAAGCUCCGGCCUGGGGUGGGGACCUCAGCCUGUCCGCUGUCCCAUGUCCACAGGGCUCCUCGGGGCACUGCACUGUCCCCCAGCCCCGUUUGUGUCCUUCGGCAGCACAUAGCAUGUCCAGUAGCAAGCGAAAAAGGUCACAGAGCCAGGACCAACAUGUGCUGAGCUUAGAAGGGAGGGACCACAGCUCGGCGGGUCCCAGGGAAGACCUGGAGCGCCCACCGCCCAGCCGAGCACACGGGGAGCUGAGGUCACCUGGCCCAGGGCCACUCCCCCUGCACAGCAAGGCCAGUGGCCUCCGGAUGGGGCCUGAGGCAGAGAUCAGGCUGCCGCUUCCGCUCCACAGCCUCGGGCUACUCAGCACCCUGUGUUCUGUCCCCAAACCAAACGCUGCUCUAUCUCUGCCCACAGAGCCCGCCGCUUCUGCGGGAAGGGUCAUCUCCGCCUCUCCCCAGUGGGAACCCAGGCUCGGCGCAGAGGCCACUUACCACUCAUAGGGAAAGCAUGGGCGGUGACUGCACACAGCCGCGCCCGCGGAGCUCCCCCCAUCCCAGGCCCCUCGGAGCCUGCCUUUGGGGCACCUGUGUCACUUCCGGUGUCUCCCUCACACUGCAGUGACAGAGAUGUGUGUCCCAGCACGCGUGUGUCGCAGGCUUCACUAUCUACCCCGCAGAGCUCGAGCGACACCGUGCAUACCACGUACCUGCCGUGGAGACCACACAUGCCCAGGGUGCCCGAGCCAAUGCCUGGACGGGCAGUGACCUGGCUGCUCGUCCCCUGGGUUGAUCCGGGUGGGGCCCAGGGCAGCCCGAGCCCGGUGGGCGCAGCGCGAGGAUCCAGCUCCAUGUGGCCUCAUGUGGGAGGUCUCACCAGGUGACAAGGACACCAGCAGGCCCAAGGAGCCAGGGUGUCGGGUGCUGUCCAGCUAGGGGCUGGGGGAGCCCAGCGGGUGGGGGGACCACAGGCUCCUGCUGGAAGGGUACUGAGGACAGCGGCCCAGCAUGGAGGCACCAAGGGCCAGGCCAGGCCCAGGUCCCACUGGCCAGUGUGGCCAGAGCAGGGAGGGGCGCAGGGCCUGAGAACCCCGGGGAGCUCAGCAGGGCAGGAGAUGACAGGCCAGGCCAGAGAAGCCUGCCAGACCCGACGUGCCAGAGCCAGGGAGGCACUGAACAGCCUGGGUCAUCUCUUUCCGUGACACCAGCGUGGGGACACCAGGCCCACGGACGUCACCUCUCGGCUCAGCCCGGGGUGACCAACCAGAGCCCAGGGUCCCCGGUGAUUUGGAGCAGGAGGACAACUCCAAGCCGGGAGCCACGGGAGCACAGCCACGCCCAGAGGCCCCUCCGUGCCUGCGGGAAACAACCAGCAGCAAACACCGGGCUCACAGGCGCCAGUGGGACUCAGUGAGGCGCAGCGUUUCCUCUGACGGCACGCCGCGGCCAGGAACAACGGAUUUCGUUCUUAGUCUGGUGGAGUUCGCGGGUAAAAGCAAUGCCUACA
RNAcentral lists this long non-coding RNA (6308 nucleotides) under Heterocephalus glaber (naked mole-rat). RNAcentral's name for it is "lncRNA (ENSHGLG00100047449.1)". The record is from RNAcentral. Lineage: Eukaryota; Metazoa; Chordata; Mammalia; Rodentia; Bathyergidae.